UGGAAAACUAAUUUUUCCCAGAGAAUUUCCAUUUAAGCCUCCUAGUAUUUACAUGAUAACCCCCAAUGGAAGAUUUAAGUGCAACACAAGGCUGUGUCUCUCCAUCACAGAUUUCCAUCCAGAUACAUGGAAUCCAGCGUGGUCCGUCUCCACCAUUCUAACAGGGCUCCUGAGCUUUAUGGUGGAGAAAGGCCCCACCCUGGGGAGCAUAGAGACAUCGGACUUCACGGUGAGGUGUGGCAGCGGCUCGCCCGGGGCCUUGUGGCACCGUGGCCUCCAACCUUUCAUCCUGGGCUGAUUGUGUCCUGAGACAUGAGACAGUUUCCUCUUGAGCAGAAAAAACAGCUGGCAGCACAGAGUCUAGUGUUUAAUUUAAAAGAUAAAGUCUUCUGUGAAUUAUUUCCUGAAGUUGUGGAG
Molecule: long non-coding RNA, 417 nt
Filed under: Rattus norvegicus (Norway rat)
Lineage: Eukaryota; Metazoa; Chordata; Mammalia; Rodentia; Muridae
Description: long non-coding RNA NONRATT022953
Source: RNAcentral